RNAcentral lists this ribosomal RNA (102 nucleotides) under Thenus unimaculatus. RNAcentral describes it as "partial large subunit ribosomal RNA". Lineage: Eukaryota; Metazoa; Arthropoda; Malacostraca; Decapoda; Scyllaridae. The record is from RNAcentral.
UGGCCGCGGUAUAUUGACCGUGCGAAGGUAGCAUAAUAAUUUGUCUUUUAAUUGAGGACUAGUAUAAAUGGUCGAACAAAAAGUUAGCUGUCUCUGAGUCAU